GAAAUGCGAUAAGUAAUGUGAAUUGCAGAAUUCCGUAAUCAUCGAAUCUUUGAACGCACAUUGCGCCCUCUGGCAUUCCGGGGGGCAUGCCUGUCCGAGCGUCAUUACGCACCCUCAAGCCCGGCUUGUGUGAUGGGCCCCGGCGUCUCGUUCGCGAGACGGGCCCGAAAGGCAGCGGCGGCGUCGACCCGAUGAGCCCGAGCGUAUGGGGACUUCUGUCACACGUUCGCGGUGCGGACCGGCGCCUGCUUGACUUUUCUGAUUAUCCAGGUUGACCUCGGAUCAGGUAGGGAUACCCGCUGAACUUAAGC
RNAcentral lists this unclassified non-coding RNA (311 nucleotides) under plant metagenome. Its description in RNAcentral is "partial contains 5.8S ribosomal RNA, internal transcribed spacer 2, and large subunit ribosomal RNA". The stretch from base 1 to 104 matches the Rfam family "5.8S ribosomal RNA", at positions 50 to 154 of the family's 154-position model. The record is from RNAcentral.